UGCCAGACUCCUACGGGAGGCAGCAGUGGGGAAUAUUGGGCAAUGGGCACAAGCCUGACCCAGCAACGCCGCGUGAAGGAAGAAGGCUUUCGGGUUGUAAACUUCUUUUAAGAGGGAAGAGUAGAAGACGGUACCUCUUGAAUAAGCCACGGCUAACUACGUGCCAGCAGCCGCGGUAAUACGUAGGUGGCAAGCGUUGUCCGGAUUUACUGGGUGUAAAGGGCGUGUAGCCGGGUUGACAAGUCAGAUGUGAAAUCCUGCGGCUUAACCGCAGAACUGCAUUUGAAACUGUUGAUCUUGAGUACUGGAGAGGCAGACGGAAUUCCUAGUGUAGCGGUGAAAUGCGUAGAUAUUAGGAGGAACAUCAGUGGCGAAGGCGGCCGCCUGGCACAAAACUGACGCUGAGGUGCGAAAGCGUGGGUAGCAAACAGGAUUAGAUACCCGAGUA
RNAcentral lists this ribosomal RNA (448 nucleotides) under uncultured bacterium. RNAcentral's name for it is "bacterial SSU rRNA". It matches the Rfam family "Bacterial small subunit ribosomal RNA", at positions 329 to 792 of the family's 1533-position model. The record is from RNAcentral.